GCCGGCACCCCAGGAACAAUAAG
Molecule: non-coding RNA, 23 nt
Filed under: Cricetulus griseus (Chinese hamster)
Lineage: Eukaryota; Metazoa; Chordata; Mammalia; Rodentia; Cricetidae
Source: RNAcentral